CAAAGGAGGCGACUCCGGUGACGGAUGGGCAUGCGGCGCAUUAGGUAGUUGGUAGGGUAACGGCCUACCAAGCCGACGAUGCGUAGGGGUUCUGAGAGGAAGGUCCCCCACAUUGGAACUGAGACACGGUCCAAACUCCUACGGGAGGCAGCAGUGAGGAAUAUUGGUCAAUGGCCGGAAGGCUGAACCAGCCAAGUCGCGUGAGGGAAUAAGGCCCUAUGGGUCGUAAACCUCUUUUGUCAGGGAGCAAAGGCGUCCACGUGUGGACGAGGGGAGAGUACCUGAAGAAAAAGCAUCGGCUAACUCCGUGCCAGCAGCCGCGGUAAUACGGAGGAUGCGAGCGUUAUCCGGAUUUAUUGGGUUUAAAGGGUGCGUAGGCGGAGUGUCAAGUCAGCGGUAAAAUUUCGGGGCUCAACCCCGUCGUGCCGUUGAAACUGACACCCUUGAGUGAGUGAGAAGUAAGCGGAAUGCGUGGUGUAGCGGUGAAAUGCAUAGAUAUCACGCAGAACGCCGAUUGCGAAGGCAGCUUACCGGCGCUCAACUGACGCUGAGGCACGAAAGUGCGGGUAUCGAACAGGAUUAGAUACCCUGGUAGUCCGCACAGUAAACGAUGAAUGCUAGAUGUCCGGGGCGAAUGAGCUCUGG
This 645-nucleotide ribosomal RNA is filed under the name uncultured bacterium. Its description in RNAcentral is "bacterial SSU rRNA". It matches the Rfam family "Bacterial small subunit ribosomal RNA", at positions 202 to 842 of the family's 1533-position model. The record is from RNAcentral.